RNAcentral lists this ribosomal RNA (469 nucleotides) under uncultured bacterium. RNAcentral describes it as "partial 16S ribosomal RNA". It matches the Rfam family "Bacterial small subunit ribosomal RNA", at positions 28 to 507 of the family's 1533-position model. The record is from RNAcentral.
GACGAACGCUGGCGGCGUGCUUAACACAUGCAAGUCGAACGGAAAGGCCCUGCUUGCAGGGUGCUCGAGUGGCGAACGGGUGAGUAACACGUGGGUGAUCUGCCCCUUACUUUGGGAUAAGCCUGGGAAACUGGGUCUAAUACUGGAUAGGACCAUGCUGUAGGUGGUGUGGUGGAAAGAUUAGUUUCGGUAAGGGAUGAGCUCGCGGCCUAUCAGCUUGUUGGUGGGGUAAUGGCCUACCAAGGCGUCGACGGGUAGCCGGCCUGAGAGGGUGGACGGCCACAUUGGGACUGAGAUACGGCCCAGACUCCUACGGGAGGCAGCAGUGGGGAAUAUUGCACAAUGGGCGCAAGCCUGAUGCAGCGACGCCGCGUGGGGGAUGACGGCCUUCGGGUUGUAAACUCCUUUCAGCCAUGACGAAGCCCUUGUGGUGACGGUAGUGGUAGAAGAAGCACCAGCUAACUACGUG